Molecule: ribosomal RNA, 253 nt
Filed under: uncultured bacterium
Lineage: Bacteria
Description: partial 16S ribosomal RNA
Rfam family: Bacterial small subunit ribosomal RNA
Source: RNAcentral
UACGGGGGGGGCAAGCGUUGUUCGGAAUUACUGGGCGUAAAGGGCUCGUAGGCGGCCAACUAAGUCCGACGUGAAAUCCCCAGGCUUAACCUGGGAACUGCGUCGGAUACUGGAUGGCUUGAAUCCGGGAGAGGGAUGCGGAAUUCCAGGUGUAGCGGUGAAAUGCGUAGAUAUCUGGAGGAACACCGGUGGCGAAGGCAGCAUCCUGGACCGGCAUUGACGCUGAGGAGCGAAAGCCAGGGGAGCAAACGGG